GAGCUUGGUCCCACGCAACGAAAAUUCAUGAACCCCGUCAGAUCUGGAAGGAAGCAGCGGUAAGUGAACCCUUUCGUGUGCCGUGGAAAAACCUGGUUUGAGC
This 103-nucleotide signal recognition particle RNA is filed under the name Clostridium pasteurianum BC1. RNAcentral describes it as "Bacterial signal recognition particle RNA". It matches the Rfam family "Bacterial small signal recognition particle RNA". Rfam says of the family: The signal recognition particle (SRP) is a universally conserved ribonucleoprotein involved in the co-translational targeting of proteins to membranes. Archaeal SRP consists of a 7S RNA and homologues of the eukaryotic SRP19 and SRP54 proteins. The record is from RNAcentral. Lineage: Bacteria; Bacillati; Bacillota; Clostridia; Eubacteriales; Clostridiaceae.